RNAcentral lists this ribosomal RNA (563 nucleotides) under Staphylococcus aureus. Its description in RNAcentral is "partial 23S ribosomal RNA". It matches the Rfam family "Bacterial large subunit ribosomal RNA", at positions 1 to 558 of the family's 2925-position model. The record is from RNAcentral. Lineage: Bacteria; Bacillati; Bacillota; Bacilli; Caryophanales; Staphylococcaceae.
GAUUAAGUUAUUAAGGGCGCACGGUGGAUGCCUUGGCACUAGAAGCCGAUGAAGGACGUUACUAACGACGAUAUGCUUUGGGGAGCUGUAAGUAAGCUUUGAUCCAGAGAUUUCCGAAUGGGGAAACCCAGCAUGAGUUAUGUCAUGUUAUCGAUAUGUGAAUACAUAGCAUAUCAGAAGGCACACCCGGAGAACUGAAACAUCUUAGUACCCGGAGGAAGAGAAAGAAAAUUCGAUUCCCUUAGUAGCGGCGAGCGAAACGGGAAGAGCCCAAACCAACAAGCUUGCUUGUUGGGGUUGUAGGACACUCUAUACGGAGUUACAAAGGACGACAUUAGACGAAUCAUCUGGAAAGAUGAAUCAAAGAAGGUAAUAAUCCUGUAGUCGAAAAUGUUGUCUCUCUUGAGUGGAUCCUGAGUACGACGGAGCACGUGAAAUUCCGUCGGAAUCUGGGAGGACCAUCUCCUAAGGCUAAAUACUCUCUAGUGACCGAUAGUGAACCAGUACCGUGAGGGAAAGGUGAAAAGCACCCCGGAAGGGGAGUGAAAUAGAACCUGAAACCG